This 23886-nucleotide long non-coding RNA is filed under the name Podarcis lilfordi (Lilford's wall lizard). Lineage: Eukaryota; Metazoa; Chordata; Lepidosauria; Squamata; Lacertidae. The record is from RNAcentral.
CAUGGCCAAAGGUCAGGAAUGAUGGCAGUUGGAAGUCCAACAGCAUCUGCAGAGCCACAGGUUCACUCCUGGUUUAAAGGUAAGGAACCUGCAACAUUUAUGUUUGUUUGUUUUUACACACACACACACACACACACACACACACACACACACUUUUUUUAAAAAAAACAUAAUUCAUGCGCAGCGGAGGAGAAAACAAGGGGAGAGGUGAAUUUUGGGAGUUUUUAAACUCUUUCUUUUACUUCUACAUCCCAAGGUGUCAGAUUGCUGUUGGCACCUCCAUUACCGGGCCUUCACAGCUUUAAAAGCAAGACUGACAAAGUGGCACACACAAAUCAUUUUUACAAGGGAGGAAAAACCCAUGCACUUAGUUCUCUAGGUCAUUGUGGAAUCUUGGUCAAUAAUGCAAUCAGGUCACUGAAAUGAAUCAUCUCUCUCAAGUUACUGGCGUGUGACCAAUUUUCAGAAAUGGAAUGAGGCCACAUUUCGUCUGUCUAAAAUACAUUCCUUUUGUACGCUGGACCCCCUGCUGCCACUUCUUCUCAUCUCUGUGGAAAUAGAAGCCUUUCUCCCGAUCUGCUGUAUAACCUCCAAAGAGAUGAUAGAAAAACAACCCCCAAACCCUAUUGUUAGCUCAUUCCUUGGGUUCCUACUGGCUAUGCCUAUGGAUUAAGUCAGCUGUUUUAUGAUGAAUAAGCAACUCCUUUCCUUUCUGCUUGUUUCCCAUUAAGAUCUGUGAAAGUCCUCUCCUAAAGCCAGGAAAACCAACAGUUCCCAUUUGGUUGUAAUCCUCAUGUUAUUGAAAGUAUGCUCCUAAAACCCAGAAGAUAGUCAGUAGUAGCUUCUCCCAUAGCCAAACCUUCCCGAAAGAAAGAAAGAGAAAGAGAGAGACGUGCACACUUUUUUCACUUUCCCAAUCUCAGGCUUGUAGUCACAACUCAGGAUGGGGUUGUUGAGAUGGAAAGGCCAAAUAUAUUAAUGAUUUUAUAAAUAUAUUAAUGACAUUAAUAUUCUGGGCUCCCCCCCCACCAAAGGCCACUGGAGCUGCUUAAUGUUUGAUUGGUCAUUCAGUGUUUUAUACAUAUAAAACAAAAUAAUCAUUAAAACAACUGAAAAAUAAAAAAAUGCUUUAAACAGCUGCAUAGGUCUGUUAGUAGAAAAAGGUCUUCAGGAUAUUUGCAUGCACACGAAAGGUUAUACCAAGAAAAAGUUAGUUGGUGUCUAAGGUGCUACUGAACAAUUAUAUAUAUAUUUCGACUGUGUCAGACCAGCACGGCUACCUACCUGAAUCUUAAAAAAUCCUGAAAGUCAAAAGUGAAUCUCUGAAUCUCUGCUGGAAGAGUAUUCUGCAGUAUGGGACUGGAGACACUAUUAUUUAUUAUUAUUAUUUAUUACAUUUCUAUACCACCCUUUAUCCGAGGAUCACAGGCUGGUUUUCGGCAUAAAAACACAAAAAACACCACUGCCUCACAGGGUAGCUGAACAAGGCAGGAUCCCUCCUUGUACAACUGUUUCUUUGCUUCUUGCCACAGAGCGCUGUACUAUCCAGUACCCAAGUGACACCAAGCAUGUUUUCUCCUAAAUACUAGCCAUGGUGAGGAAAAGGAGUAAAUGAUCUUUAUCGGAGAGCUCUCCAUUGCAGCACAUGGCAGUUCACCACUUUGAGAUGUUGAUAUGUCGCGUUAUUGGCUGGUGGCAUGCACGGCCUUGUCAGGAAAUGAAGACAUUGCUAGGCAGAGCAGGCUGCAUCAGGAAUGACUGACAUCCUCUAUUAAUUUUUUCCCAUGUAGGUAGCAUAAAAAAAUUCACCGUAUGUUGAUUCUGGAAAUGUUAUGUCUUUUCCAAGAUCAGAGAAUUCUUCGUGUUGGAACACUACAGUAAGCAGACCAUCACACAUAAAGCCUUCACUGUAUCACAUCUAGUGCAGGCAUGUCCAACUCCCAAGAGACUGUGAUCUACUCCCAGUAUAAAAAAACUGGCAGUGAUCUACCCUUUGUCACUGGAGAGAGGAGGAGCGUGCAUGAGGAGGGUGGAUUGCCCAGAGUUGUUGAGCUUUUUGGGGGAGGAUUGCACAGAGUUUUUUAGAUUUCCCUCCAUAACUUUUUGUACACAAUAAGGAUCCCACGAUCUUGACCAGGAUCAACUGGGGAUCUACUGGUAGAUCACGAUCUACUUGUUGGACAUCCCUGAUCUAGUGGAUGUUUGUGGUGCAAUAGCACUGUGAUUUUUUGCACCCAGACUUAAAAACAGCAACCUAGUUUUGCAACUAUGGCCAACUGAGAGCAAUAGGCCAUUGUGGCUUCUGGCUGAUGCAUCAGCAUCUGAAGUGCAGAAUAUAAUAUUGAGCAGUAGCAUAUGGUGUGGUGGGGUUGCAUCACUUACCUGACCUCCCCCUGGCCAGGUAGCUGCUGCACACCAGGAUGGAGAGCAGGAAGGGGCAAAGUGGUGGCAAGGUUGCUGACCUUGCCACUGCCUUGCCUCUCUCUUCUUCCCGGUAUGCAGUGGUGGCUUGGCUGGAGGGAGGUCAAGUAAGCAAUGCUGCCCCUCCAUUCUGUCCACUACUGAUCUUCAGAAGUUCUUUAACAGCACAUGAAGAAAUAUCCUUAGCCAUCCUUCAUGGCCACAUCAUAGUUCUUACUCUCAGUUCCCUGAACAAAACAUUUUCUAUUAAGUAGUGUCCUACAUCUUUCCAUAUAAUAUGCAAGGCACAUUUCUGAAAUCAUUCCUUCCUUCCUCCACUGGGAAGAAGCUUUUUCUAACUGAAUUGUAGGUUGCAGUCGCUGUUCCUUUGCAGAGCUCUUAAUGGAUUGGGAACCACCAGCUGUUCAGCUGCAGCUCUUCUGUCUUAUUUGAAGUUGUACUGAUCUGUGCCAAAGUCCAAAGGCAUCCGUUUGUACUUUGCAGGAAAGUUUGGACCAGUUCAGAAAAACUUUCUCCAAGAUCACCAGCGGCUGGAAGGACAUUAUGUUGUUUGUUGAUAAUAGCAAUGUGAUCAUAGUGUGUUGCAACAUUUUGGGAGGCUGGGGGUGGAAUGGGAGGAUAUUAAUAAGAUAGCCUUAUAGAUUAAAGAAAGUUAAUAAGUUAUGGAGGAGUUAUGGAACAGAUCCCAAAGAGUCAAUACAAGUUUUCAUUUUCAUUUGCUGUGCCCUAUUAGAAGUUAUAAGACCAUAGAGUUGGAGGGGAAUUCUAGGACUAGGUUAUCUAUUCCAACUUCCUGCUCAGUGCAGGGAAUUCAGAGCUAUAGCAGCCCCAAAAGAUAGAUGUCUAGCCUCUGAUCUACAAUGAGGGAGAGCCCACUGGUCAUCAGAGUUUCCAUUGUCAAACUGCUCUUGCUGUUACAUUAUUUCUCCUCAUGUGCAUCUGCAAUCAACCCUGCUACAACUAAAGUACAUUGGAUUCUGCUUUCUGGGCCAGUAGAAAAUAAGCCUUCAUACCCUCCAACAUUUCUCCAGUGAAAAUAGGAAAUAAUAAUAAUAAUAAUAAUAAUAAUAAUAAUAAUAAUACCCCACCCAUCUGACUGGGCUGCCCUAGCCACUCUAGGUAUCUUGCAACAUACAGUGGUACCUUGGGUUACAGACGCUUCAGGUUACAGACUCCACUAACCCAGAAAUAGUACCUUGGGUUAAGAACUUUGUUUCAGGUUGAGAACAGAAAUCGUGCUCCAGCAGCAGCGGGAGGCCCCAUUAGCUAAAGUGGUACCUCAGGUUAAGAACAGUUUCAGGUUAAGAACUCCAGAACGAAUUAAGUUCUUAACCCGAGGUACCACUAUAUAUAAAAACAUGAUAUAACAUUAAACAUUACAAAAAAAAUUCCCUAUACAGGGAUGCCUUCAGAUGUCUUCUAAAGGUUGUAUACUUAACUCCUUGGCUCAUGGGUCACAUAACUACAUACCCUGCAACAUUUCUCUGGUGUAAAUAGGGAUGUCCUAAGGAAAAGUGGGACAUUCUGGGAUCAAAUCAGAAACUGAGACAGCUUCUGUAAAUCUGCAACUGUCCCUGGAAAAUGGGGACACUUGCAGGGACUGAAUUUUUGCCCUCUUCUAUGUGACAACCCUUCAAAUACCUGAAUGCUCUCAUGUCACCUCUCAGCCUAUACUUCUUCAUGUUAAACAUAGCCGGUUCCUUCAGCUUUUAAAAAUAGGAUUUACUUUCUGUAUCACUGACCAUCUUUGUUGCCCUCCUCUUGCAAUGAAUUUCUUGACACACUGCAACAUGACAUUUUCACAGAAAGCGCAGCUUUUCUUUGGGUUUGAUCACUGUAUGUUUUCAGGUUAUGCCUUUUGAUGGGAGAAUAAAUUUUCCAGGCAGGGGAAAGCAAAUGGUUGUUGAAGAAUUCCAUCAGUACUUUUCACCUUUCUGUCCAGCCUAUAGCAAAUGAAUUGUAACCUCACUUGUGCAAACACCUGAACACACUGAAUCAUCUUGAAACUCACUGAAAGGAUUGAUCAGCCUUUCAGCAGUGGAGAAAAUGUCCAUUACGACCUCCUCGGCUUUCUGUGCUGCCAAACGCUUUCCUUUUGUAUACUUCUGGCAGCAGGGCCCAGGAGCCCUGCUCUCUUGAUCCCUUUCUCUGCCUUAACGGAGAGGGCAAAACAAAUAGCAAGGGAGUAUAUUCAGGAGCACCAGAUUGGCUCCACAGGAGCAUUUGCCCCACCCUGACCUCUGCGCACCACCUCACACAAUGCAAAACAUGAGCUAGGUCAGGGCAGCCAACUAUUUUGUGGACUACAUCUCCCAUCAUCUCUGACCAUUGACCAUGCUGGCUGGGGCUGAUGGUAACUGUAGUCAGUGCUGGUGCCAGGCACCUUAGGCAAAACUAACUCCUUGUAUGACUGCCCCCCACCCCCCGUGCCUGCCCCAUGAAAAGCACAAAACUUAAAACUGAUAAAUUUAUCUUAAAUUGCAAAAAUGAAUAAUGCAGCAAUCUUUGAUUAUCUUUCUCAAAUACAUGUUUUUGCACAAAAAUCAUUUUGAAUCAUCUUGUGAACUGGGAUGUUAAAAUUCAAGUUUCUUAAAAGUUUCAGUUUCAGGCACAUCAAAAUCUCACUUUGCCUGCCUUUUCCUUUUUUGUCACCAAAAAAUUGCUUGGCCCAUGUAUUCAGUGGGCAGUGGGACUACUUUUCUAGUCCUAAACUACUGGGGGGGGGGGGGAAGAGAGAAACCAAGACUCCUCCUGUGUUAGAUUCCCCUUUCUUUUGGCUAGGCUGACGAUCUGUAGUUAUGAAUGUAAGUUUCAUACCCAGCCCUUGGUUCAUAAAUGCCUUUAUUUGAGCUAUGAGUUGGAGAAGGUUAUCUAGAUUUACACUAUGCCUACCUAAUAGUAUUUCUUAUUCUGACCACACAAGAACUCUUUCGCCUCAAAGCAUUGAUUUUUAGAUCUGAAACUUUCUCCUGAAGCACUUAUAAAUCAGGGGAUCAAUCUGUCUUGCUAUUAGAUCUGAAGACUUGUGCCUCAGGGAAACUUCUCAGCUUGAUGCCUGAAAGCAUAGAGUUCUCCCCCUACCCCAUGUGUGCAUGUGUGUGGGUCUUCAAUUCUCUUUGAAUGGGAUAUCUAGCCAUUCACCUGCCAUUAGCACACAUUUCAGGAGCUAAAUUACAGUACUUAGAAUCUGAAGCCUUUCCAACAGCAAAGCCCCCUCAUUGAGAGAGAGAGAGAGAGAGAGGGAGCGCUCAGCUAACUUGGAGUAAGGUAUAAAUUGAUUUUCUAUACUUCUGGUGUUAAAUAAAUUACAAGGCUUUGCAUGGCCUAUGGUGCCUUCAUUUCCCCUGACAUUUCUGGCUUCACUUUGCCUGAUGUUCUCCUACAGAAUUUUUGCCUCUGCCUCCACAGACAUCUUUUUUGGUUCACCACCUUUUGUGUAUUAUGCUUCCCAGCUACGGAAACUGGCCGUAUUGGAUACAUUAAGCUCUCAGGCUCAACAUUAGCUCCAAUUUGAUGCAUAUUGGUUUGAACUGACUUCUCAUAACCUUUUUAUGCUUUGCACCCUGAGGUGCUUGCUUUAAGAAUGAUACAAUAAUUCCAUGACUGACUGGUUCAGUGAUUUGCCAAUUUGUUAACUUUUGAGAACUCCCACAGCUCCUCUUAUGCAGAGACUGCUUCCUGCCUAUUACUGAUGAGCCACACUGGGAAGAAGACUCUGACAUCUACUGCCAUGCUCAGCUUGAAAACUCGUGACACAUUUGACUAGUCUCUUCCACCCCCCUGCUUUCUUGUUUGCUUCCCAACCCUUUCUGAAUAUGGCCUGUUGAGUUAUGAUUUGAGUACAGUCAGUGCUGUUUUGCUAGAAAAAGAGGUGCCAGAACUCCUCCUCACGUCUUCUUGACCCAUAACUAGAAAUCAUGAAUCUGAGAAGGGUUUUUUUUUAUGCGUCCUGUGCUUCCUAUGCAUGGGUCUGAGUGGUUUUGCUUUUGCCCCUCUGCUUCCCCUUGGAAAACUACUCCGUAGCACUAAAUCAGAACAAAUGGGAAUCUGUGGAAAACCCAAUUGCCAAUUGUUCUGAUUCAGCGCUAAACUGCAGGUUUUCUAGAGUGAAAGCGGUGGGGCAAAUGGAGGUGUGGAUGAGCCCUAUGUCAGAUAUAAUGUGGAAUAUAUUUUCGACAAGAAAAGAGGAAAGGGAAUGACACUAUGGGGGUAAACAGAUUAGAGUGAAAACCUGUAAACGUACAACCAUGUCAGAAAAAUCCAUAUGGAAUACAUACAUAUGGCUUAUUAAUCAUGGUCCUGUGAACCUACACUGAACUUUGCUCUACUAUAUUUAUGUUAAGGUCCUGAAGCCCAUUCAGGUUUUUGCCAUUAAUCUCAAUGUAAGAGAUGCGCCACAAAAGUUUGCAGAAAGUGCUUUGUAUCUUGAAAACCCAGUUCUUCCAAAGAACCUAAUGGCAGGUACAUUUCCUGCCUAGGAAGUAGCCGUUAAAUGAGAAUAUUAACCUAGUAGUCGAUGAAACGCAUUAGUUGUCAUAUAUCUAGAAUGCGCACAGACCAAAGUGGAAGGUAUUUCCAGAUACAUAAAAACAGAUUACUUUCAAUUUUGAUGCUCCUGUAAUAGAGGAGUCUGAAAUUGCUUUUAGCUUCCAUCCUGCUACUGUUUCUUAUUCCACAAAAUCAACAUUUGUAUUUCAUCAGCGGUAGAAACUUGCUUGCAGUUGGAUUUGUGUGUUUUGUUCACAAUGAUUAUGCACUAUAGCCUGUUGGAUGAAUAAUGGUAAUUGGCGCAGAGGAAACAGGCAGAAUAUGUAAUUAUAGAGCACAGAGAGCACCCCGCCCAAUUCUCCUUUAAUAAGCUUUUCCACUAAGACAAAAAGAAGAAGAAAAAAGACAAGUAAUGUAGGACACAAUAGAGGUGUAUAUAAUUAUGCAUGGCUAGGAGACAGUGGAUAGAGAGAGGUUUUUCUCCCUUUGUUCACUUUAACACUAGAACCUGGAGUCAUCCGGUGAAGCUCAGUGGUGAAAGAUCCUGGGCAGACCAGCAAAAGUACUUCACACAGCAGACGGUUAAACUAUGACACUGCUUGGAUGGCUUGAAAAGGGGAUUAAAGAAAGUCAUGGCAGAUUAGGUUAUUAAUAACUACUAGUCAGCACAGCUAUAUGUCCCCAGUAACAGAGACAUUUUUAGGCCUCUAAAAAUACCAGUUGCUGGGAAUUACAAGUGAGAGCUCAUGUCCUGGUUGCAGACUUCCAAUGGGCAUCUGGUUGGCUGCUGUGAGAACAGGAUGCUGGGUUAGAUAGACUUCUCAUCUGAUCCAGCAGGUCUCUUGGUGAUGGUCCAAAUGAUGGCCUGAACCAGGAGCUAUGGGUGCUUCCAGACUAUCACUAUUUUCAGGUGGGAUUCAAUCACAUCCUGGAAAAACCAGGCUAAGCAUUUAAAGCUGAUUUGACACUUUUGUGCAACAAACCCAUCCCCAGAAUUGGAUUUUUUACAAAAAGGGGAAAAAAGAGAGGGGAAAUGGAUGGGAAAGUGUGGGAUAGCACUCAUUUGAUGCAACAUCAUAUAACCUCUGCAGAAAUAAAUCAGAACGAAUGCUCAAGAAAGAGGAGACACUUUCACAUCCCCACAAACUUUGUGCAAACAAAUCACAAUGAACAGGUCCUCUAGAAGUGACCCAAAUUAUGUAAUUUGUCUAGGAAACUGUUCACUUUUAGCAGGCAUGAUGGCAGGGCUGUGGCUGAUCAAAAUAACUGCGGAAGAUUAAAAAGUGGGGCUCCCAUAAUCCAGAAGGAGUGCUCUGGUCUGGUAGCCAGAAUGUAGUGAUUUAGGGCCAACCAACCAGUGAGAGAAACAAAACACAGUGUAUUAACUUGAAGAGCAAUGGCUGAUCCAUUACUUUAGCAGAGGUAGGUUGGUGAAGCAUUAGGAAAAUGGCAUAAAUGGUGCCAUCCUCUUGCACUGAUUGAGAAGCUGUUGGGAGGGAAAUGUUAAAGCUAUGUUAUGCACUAAAUGUGGGCAAGACAUUGGAAUGGAUGGCAUGCACUUAUGUGUGUAGGGGUACUAACUCAAGGAGGCUUACAUUUUUUGGGGGAGGAAUUUUGCCUUGUUCUUUGUCAGUCCCUUGCCUCCUUUAGCUUUUUAACAUCUACAACUGGUAGAAGCUUUUCAGGGUUGUAGCCAGGAGACUUUCCCAGCCCUGCUGGGAUUUAACCUGGAACCUUUGGGAUGCAGAGCAUGUGCUCUCUGCCACUGAGCUUAUAGCAACGAGGGCUAGAAACUUGAUUUCGAACAAGAGUCUAAAAUUUAUUACAGGGGAAAGCGAGAGGUGGUAUUCCUAUGCAGCUCACUGGUUUAUGCUACACCUGCAGAUCUUCUGAGCCCAGGUUCUCCAAGCAGAAAUAUGGAGAUUAGCAGCCAAAACAUGGACUGCACUAAUGUAUACUCUGUCUUGAACUGAAACUAAUUACGAAUCCUCUGUGCCCAUUAAUGGGGGGGGGGAUAGUUCAGUGCUAAUCACUUUCUUUCUAAAUUUAACCUUGCUGCAGAACACCUCCAGUUUUAUGCCUAUUGAGAUGGCAUCUAGCACUCUUAGUGGUGCUUUUCAGAAUCUAAUUUUCUCAUUGUUAUUCAGUAGUGCUCACAGUUCUACGAUGCAGGAUCCAUGAGCGGAUACGAAUCCUCUCAUCUCGAUGUGAUAUGUGCUGUUAAUCUAACACCUGCUCCUCCUCCGUUUGGGGAAAUCACAGAAAUCUUGUCUCUUGUGAUUCCAAGUUGAAUACAUUCUUCCUCAGAAAUCUGCGCAUCAAAGGAGGAGAAAGGUGCCUUUUAUAUCUUGUCAACAGAUGCAUUUUGAAAGCUUAAAAAAGAAGAGCACACACAGAGAGAACCUACAGGAGGCAUUUGCCCUUCUAGUGUUCAUCCACAAAUCUUAGUUAACUGAAGAACUCCAGCUGUUUGCAUGGCAAAGGGACAUAAUCCAUGCUGAAGGGGCUGACUGAUCCCAGGGGCCGCAAUGGGCAUGGCCUUGUGAAAUAUUUAGAUAGAACCACUCUCAUAAAUAAACAUAGAAGUCCCCUGUUCCCAACCUGAGACAAAACCCACAGUGCUUUAACAUUCAGACAGAGAAGUAUGCAUGUUCUUGACAAGAUGUGCAGCAAAGGGAGUAAUUUCCUAUCUUCAUUUAUGCUCCCUAUUUCAACUCCCCCAUCUUGGGAAUGGAACAUAUCCCCAGGGUAGAGCAUAGGCAUGCAUUCAGAAGGUCCAAAGUUCAAUCCCUUGUAUCAAGGAGAGUAGGAAGUUGCCUUAUAUUGAGCCAGACCAUUGGUUCAUCUAGCUCCUUAUUGUGCGCAUUGAAUGGCAAUAGAUCUCCCAAAGAAUUCAGGCAGGGGACAUUCCCAGCCCUAUCCAGAGAUGCGGGGAUUGAACCUAGAACCUUCUGCAUGCAAAGCAGAUGUUCUACCACUGAGCUAUAGCCCGGUCCCUGUGUCGGGGUUGGAGUCAGGUGUAAGUCAGCAAUAAAGCCCGAAGCCAGCGAAGUUUACUCUUUAUUCAAGGAAACAAGCCACAGCUCAGGCCUAGUGGCCACAGCAAUUCUUUCCAGGAGGUCUUGCCUAAUGAAGCAGCUGUGAGGACUAAAGGUCCCCACCUUCCCUCAGCUCUCUAAGCUCUCCAAGCCCUUGAUUCCUUCCCUAGUAACCUAAGCCUUCACCUGCUUGCCUCUUGUUGCUCUGCCCUCUGCAUUUCUCUGCACAUUUUGGGAGACCAGGGGGCAGGGGAGCUGAUUGUAGCAGGAGGGGAAGACUCUCUGACUUCUUCCACAGCCUGCCUACACUCAGCUUCAGAGUCUGCACAGCUCUCUGCCACAGCCUCUUCCUGCUCAUUAAACCCUGUUGCUCCCGAACCUCCUCCCCCCACUCUGCUCCCUCUUCUCCCUUUGACUGCUCAUUGUCAUCCCCCCACCAAUCCCCUGGCUCAGAGCAUUCUUCCCUUGGGAAUUCCCUAGGGGGCUCCCCGGCAGGUGCCUUCCAUCAUGCCUCUGCAUCCAGCCAGUCCAUGGACACCGUGAUAGAACUCAAUGCAUAGGGUUCUCAGGUGGUCUCUCAUUCAGAUGGACUCCCAUUCAGAUGCUGAUCAGGCCUGCUCAGCUUUAGCAAGGUGGCUGCACCAUGUGUCCUCAGACCAUUUGAGUCUGAAGUCCAGCUCAAGCAGGAUCUCCAGCUCAAGCAGGUGAUAGGAAAGAUUGCUGCCAGUCAGACAAUAUUGUGCAAGACAGAGAAAUAUUCUGAGCUGGUAGAAGGGCACCUACCUGCAGGUUCAUCCCUAUAAUUAUUUGUGGCUUAAGGGCGCAAGCUCAGGAGCCCGUGACUAUAACCCCUCCCCUUCAAAGUAGGAAUUGCCCAACCUGCUGAAAGGGAAAAGAUGUACUACAUAUGGGGAGAGAACAAAUGAGAGAACAGUAGGUCAAUUCCUUUAUGCUCCUUUGCUGCUUCAGAGCAUCUUUUUUGAUCCUUUGGACCACUCUGAGUAAAAGUUAGUGGAAUACCACCCAGAAUAAAAAUAUAUUACAGGGCUAAAGAAGAUGUACAGUGGUACCUCGGGUUACAUACGCUUCAGGUUACAGACUCCAUUAACCUAGAAAUAGUACCUCGGGUUAAGAACUUUGCUUCAGAAUGAGAACAGAAAUCGUGCUCUGGCGGCGCGGCGGCAGCAGGAGGCCCCAUUAGCUAAAGUGGUGCUUCAGGUUAAUAACAGUUUCAGGUUAAGAACAGACCUCCAGAACAAAUUAAGUACUUAACCAAGGGUACCACUGUAUAGCAAAAGGCAGUAGAAACCAAAGUCUCUCUCUGCCUCCCUGGCAGAAGCUGGUGUGAAGUUGAACAUAACUUCUACUAAUUCCAGGCUGAAGAUCCCUAGAAAAAAAGAUUUGCCUUGAUAUAUAGGAAACUUGGCAGUCAAAUUGACCCAAGGACAUAAGAAGGGCAUAACCUGGCUCCCUAUAAAGAAAAAAUGGCCUUGUCCGAACUGAUGCACAUUUAGUGUCUGGAGUGAGAAAAAUAUCGUCAGAUAUAUCUGUGUGCAACCUUGCUCUUUACGAAUGGAGGCAGUACGGCCCAUUUACAGAGAACGAUGUGCAAUUUCUAUAAUUUAACAUGCUAUAUUUCCAACUCUCUGUGACACCAUAUUUAUUCAGUUAUGUUCUUAGUUCAUGUGCUGAGAUGGAUUCCUUUUCCUUUUAUAUGCAAAAUAACAAUGAGGAUUUGUCACAGAUGAAAAGUCCAGAUUCUUUUCUUCAGUAGCAAUUCAUCAGAUACAUAAUUAAUGAAAACAAGAGGUCGUUUAAAUUAUACAUGGGCUUCCUCUUGGGAGAAGCGAACAAGAAAUCGAGGGGUUUGUACAAAGUUACCUUUGCUUCUCAUCGACCAAAAUAAUGACCUUGUGGGCUCCCAUUCGUGAUGUUCCAACAGGGUUGUAAGUGUGAAAACCAUAAGAAAUAAAGAAUAAAAGAAAGGAAGGGAUGAGCUUAUUCAUUUUAAGAAUUCAGGCAUAAAAGCUCCUUUAACAUAGAACUAAUAUUGCAAUUUUUCAAGAAACUUAUUUAAAAAGUAGGCCAAAGUUCCUGCUUAAAUUAAUACAAGAGACCUAAAUGCAAGGUGUCCGAUUUCAAUCUAAGAUUCUGCAGAAAUUGAAACAGACCUUUGAGAAAUGUCUGAAAUUGCAUAUCUUGGUAUUCUCUGACCUGACAGGGAAUUUUACCAGCACAACUGAGACUUUACUGUAGGGAGGUAAUUUACUGAUUUGAUGAUGAUGAUGAUGACGACACAACUAGUAGCCUUAUUGUAAUAUAAGCUGGAGUGCUAAUGUUGAAAGAUUGGCCAUCUCUAGUCCAGAAACUCUGGUAACAACAUUACCAGUUUGUAGUCAUUUUAUAGAAGCUAAUAGUAUUUUUUAUUACUUUUAAGGAUGCUACUGGAAAGGAGGAGCUACAGUGGUACCUCGUGUUAAGUACUUAAUUCAUUCCAGAGGUCUGUUCUUAACCUGAAACUGUUCUUAACCUGAAGCACCACUUUAGCUAAUGGGGCCUCCCGCUGCCACCGCACUGCCGCUGCACGAUUUCUGUUAUCACCCUGAAGCAAAGUUCUUAACCCGAGGUACUAUUUCUGGGUUAGCGGAGUAUGUAACCUGAAGCGUAUGUAACCCGAGGUACCACUGUACUGAGAAAAGUGGUAGUCGCUGGAGUUGAGCUAAAAUAGCCUCGCAAAUUCUCCAUGUUAUUUGUGGGAGGUGAAAUUUGGGGGGUGAGGGUGAGAUUUCGUUGAAUUAUACUUUGGGGCAAUGGAGUUCUCCUAUGCCCAGUCCCCACCCUUAAAUGCCUGAAGUGUAUCCUUGAACCAGGAUAAUGCUUCUUCCUGGCUUAAGGAUAAAGAGACGUGGGUGGGUAUUUUACCUCUGAGUUUUACUGUGCAAAGGUACGAGUCAAACCAGAUGCUCCACCCACUCUUGCUACUGGCCCCACCCACCACUGGCAACUCCCGAAUGGUUGCCAAUGAGGGAAUGUGGCCUGUGAGCUGCAAAAAGCAUUGUUUUCUCAAAAUUUACCUUCUGUACCAUGAAAAUAAAGAAAAACAGUAUUUUAUUUUUUUUUAAAAAGGGUUCCCCAUCAGGCCUGUAAGGACUGAUUCACACAUACCUUUUUGCCUCUGUCCUGAUGGUUGCAGCAGCACCAGGUGGUGAUGUGAAUGAGGGGAUGAUCUGUCUUAGAUCAAACAGUACAGAUAAAACUCCCUUGCCAACUGAAAGGCAGAAAUUUUUCAACAGCGACUUAGUCACAAUGACUUAAGUUUUGCUCAGAAUAGGCCUAUUGAAACUAAUGGACCUAAAUUAGAAAGGCUUGUUAAUUUCAGCGGGUCUACUCUUGAGGAAGGCUUCAUUGACUACUAUUACACACACACAAACCUAAAGCAGAACAAAUAUUAGAUUUGGCGAAGAGCCUGCUAUUUUGCAAAAAGAGGCACUGUUGGCAUUUCAGCUGCAUAGAUUUCUCUUCCACGUGAAUGACAGUAUUUGUGUAAAGCACUCAUACAGAACCUUAGGCAGCGCUGUGGAUAAACAAUAAACCAGAACUAUUCCCUAUGGGGGAUUUGGAGUCAUAGCUCAUUAAAUUCCUUGGCACAGCACAAGUUGGUCUUUUAUUGUGCAAAGCACAGGUAACGUUUUGUUCCAAGCGCUGGUUCAUGCGGCAAAUACCGUUUAUCCCAAGGUACCCGACUGAAAAGGCUUAGUUGAAAUGGGAAGGCCUAAUGAUAUGACUUUGAUGUUGUUAUUUAAAGCCUCAGCUUUAUAGAGUUAUUCUGCUAUCAUUAAUUUCAGAUAUCGAAUUUCUCAUUGGAUACCUCGUCAUUCCUCCUACAAAGGAACGACCUAAAUAGUACUGCAGUAAUGUGAACUUCCCCCUUUAUUUAUUUAUUUCAUAAAAGACACCACUUCAUCGUAAAUGAAACCUCCAAGCAGUUUACAAAAGAUUAAACAGGUAAAAAGUUAUUAUGCUUUUAUAUAUGUUGGAAGCUGGGGUAACCCAGCCAGAUGGACAGAGUUUAAAUAAUAAAAUUAUUAUUAUUAUAAAUAAGAUAAAACAGAAAAAUUCACAACCACCCUUCAAAACAUACAAAAGUUAAAAUAGUUAUUGGCAUCUGCCUGUCUCAGGAGACAAUGGAAGAGUGCGCUUUUGGGGGUGAAGUCAAACUCAAACUGUUGGGGUUUGAGUACAGCACCUUCUGUGGCUGUAGAGACCUUUUCUAAGCAUCUGGGUGGGCUUGUCUAAACAACAAUGUUUUUAGCAGGCACCACAAAGAGUACAGUGAAGGCACCUGCUUGAUCUCAAUAGGCAGGGAGUUCAAAAGUUUAGGCACUAAGCAAUCAAGUUCUUACAAAUGCCAAACAGGUAUUACAUGGCACCUAUAGAAAUGCCAAUUCCGCUAAUCGAAGCAGAUGAGUGGGCACAUGUGGGGCAAAAUGUAGUUAAACUGGUUCCAAGUUGUAUACAGUGGUACCUCGGGUUAAGUACUUAAUUCGUUCCAGAGGUCUGUACUUAACCUGAAACUGUUCUUAACCUGAAACACCACUUUAGCUAAUGGGGCCUUCCUGCUGCUGCCGCGCCUCCGGAGCACGAUUUCUGUCCUCAUCCUGAGAACAUAUAUUUCUGGGUUAGCGGAGUCUGUAACCUGAAGCAUAUGUAACCUGAAACGUAUGUAACCCGAGGUACCACUGUACUAAUAGCAACACUUGGAAUCUGGCCUGAUAGCAGAUCAGCAACAGGUCUUAAAUGCCAAUAAGGCCNNNNNNNNNNNNNNNNNNNNNNNNNNNNNNNNNNNNNNNNNNNNNNNNNNNNNNNNNNNNNNNNNNNNNNNNNNNNNNNNNNNNNNNNNNNNNNNNNNNNUAGGAUUAAAUUGGCCACAACUUUAUUAAAUUUCAAAUGUGGGUAGACCUUGGCUCAGGCAUUGGGCGUUCUCCCUCCCCAGCCCCCAGCCGGGGACCUAGGGAGCUUCAGGGUUAUCCAGUGUGUGUGGGGGGGAUGGGCCGGCUCUGGAGAGCAUAUGUUCAAGCAGAGAUAGCUGCCCCCGUUACGCCGCCGCCGCAGGGAGAGCAAUGACGACCUUUCGGCGUACGGUCAAAGCCUCCCUUCAGAAACCCCUUUAACGGGGAACCCUGGUAUCGCCGCCGCAAAGAGGAAGAUGGACUAAAGGAUUCCACCCAAGGCCUGAUACCGCCAAAGUUGUGACGUUUUGCUAUGGGAAAGGCAAAACCUGCCAAUGCAGAGAAAUUCCUUUCCGGCCCUUUAACAGCGACCUUAUCGUAGCAGCGCCCGCAUACCUGUGAAGAAAAGUUAACCUGCAAAACCUAUGAAGAAAAGUUAACCUGCAAAGGAAGACAUUAACUGAGGGUGGGUAGGGUGGGAGAAGCUCUGGAGCCAAGUGAGGAUUUGCAGGUAAGAUCCUCGCUCUAUUGUGUGGGCAGGUAAUCCCUCCCCCUACCUGGCCUGGUCUCCUUGGCAACGCUUCCCCCAGGUGGGAUUGGACAACUGAUUGAGGUAGGCGGAGACCUCCAGGUAUCCCACCUGAGGGAAGGCAAAGCCAAGCCUAUGCUGAUGGGGCCGCUCCAGAUCUAGGGCUGCGCGCGUCCACGCAAAGGCGCCCCCCGUUUUAAGCGGGGAGCGGUCAUUAUGCACUAACUGCAGCUUCCAGGUCGAGUGUGAGGGAAGCGGUAUUCCAGUCUUGAAGUAAUCAGUGUGCAACCUACUGUGGCAAGGCUUUCCAGGUCCAGGAAUGGCCAUAGCUGUCAAACCAAUCAUAGUUGGUAAAAGGUACUUCUAGCCACUGAGGCUACCUGGGCCCCCAAUGACAGAGCUGGAUCCGGCACUUGCAAACAUUGAACUUGCUCCUUCAGGGGGAGUAAAACUCCAUUAGGGUAGGCAACUGGCCAAUUUUUCGUACACGGGAACUACUCACUCACAGUGCCUCCCGCUUCAAGUUUCUGAAUAUCUAUUGUAUUUUCUUAUAGUCCUCAGGUAACUAUCUACAUUCUACUGUUAUAGCUUCUCUUUCAUUUCAUACAUUGUGCACCUGCAAGAAUUAAAGGAAGGCACCUUAGAUACAUACAGUGGAAGAUCAGAACCUCUGUACCAGAAAGGGGAUCUGAUGUCUAGCUUGUCAAUUAGGGGUAGGAUGAGAUCCACUCACCACAGGCCCAAAACUUGCAGGUCUCCCAUCUCUGGUUGUCUCCCAUAAAGAAACUUUAAUGUAUCUGGAUUUCGUAACUGUAAUUGCCUUCCUGGAGAGGAACCACCUUCAAGGAAUCUUUCCAUUAAAUGUGACAGAUAGUGGGGUUUGUAACUCCUGAACGGCAGAGAAUUUUAACAGGUCUUUUUAACAGCUCUGUGACAGGGAGAGAUUUGCCAGGUCUCUGCUCCCCACCCCCUCUUACAGGCUUUUCUGCACAGCCAGAGUUCUGUGUGCUCAAAUAAGUGGGAAAGGACUUAGCUUCUUCCCCACAGAACCAUUCAGAAACAGUUUUGAUUUGUAACAGCCCUUCACAACCUGGUGUCCUCUGGAAGUUAUAUUGAAAUGAAAAAGUUUUGGGACAUGAUAUAUAACGAAAUGAAAAAAAACUCUUUAAAGACACCUUCCUAAAGAAACCAGAGGCUUUUUUUACUACGGAUAAUAGGAGAGGAAGUGAGAAAACAAGAUUGCAAGUUAUUUCUGUAUGCAACAACUGCUGCUAGGAUUCUUGUGGCCCAAAAGUGGAAAACCCAGGAGAUUCCAACUUUAAUGGAGUGGCAGAUGAAAUUAUUUGAGUAUGUAGAAUUGGUGAAAAUGACUUAUAAAAUUUGAGACCAAAAAGUGACAAAGUCUGAAGAGGAAUGGAGUAAAUUUGUUGUGUAUAUAUGAAAUAAUUGUAGAAGUUUAAAAACUGUAGCAGGGCUAACAUAAAACUUGUGAUGUGAAUAGAGGGUAAAUAAGAAUCUGUAAGAGAGCAUGUAAAAUGGGAAAACCAAAGCAGGGAAGGAAGGAAGUCUGGGUGCAAAAUUGUGCAGGGUAAAUAAGACACAAAAUGUUGAACGUAAAAGUGUAAGUUUUAUUUGUUAUGUUUUUGAAAACCAAUAAAAAGCAUUUUUUUUAAAAAGGAAGUUAUAUUUAUUUUUUUAUGAUGUACAUAAAGGUGUUUGUUUGUUUUUUAAAAGCACCUCUAAGUGGUGUACAAUAAACGAGAACAUGGCUAUCAGUGGCUAUGAGCCAUGAUGGCUCUGUCCUACCUUCACUGUUGGAGGCAGUAUGCCUCUAAAUAGGAGUUGCAAGCAGGGAGAGUGCUGCUGCGCUCAAGUCCUGAUGGCAGGCUUCUUGAAGGCACUGGCUGCCCACUGUGAGUACAGCAUGCUGGUCUAGAUGGGACAUUGGCCUGAUUCAGUAGUCUCUUCUUAUGCUCUUAUGUUCUUAUGAAAUGCAAUGAGAUAAUGGCCCUGUUGAGUGAGGUUGAUGGGAAUGUUAGUCUAAAACACUUGGAAGCCACCAGUUUGGGAAGUCUGAGCUAAAGAAUUCUGUUAUCAUCCUGCACUGGGUUCAACUCAAGGAAGAGCUUCAUUCCAACACUAUAAUUCUGAUCUAUUUUCUGUCUUAGAAUCUCUCCUGAUCUAAAUCAAGCAGUGUAUUCUAAUCUGAAUCUCCACUGUCAUAAUAUUAAAACAAAAUGAAAAUUAUGAAUUCCAAUAGCAGCGAUCAUCAUUUUUAUCAAAUAUAUCUCUUCUUUUUGAAGAAAAGGGAAAUCUUUCUAAUUCCAGGCAAACAUCUGAUUUCUAACACAAAGAGAGACUUAACUUACACAGCAAAGCUUCACAGCCAUCAGAAAAGUAAUUAGAGAGAUGUAUCAUGCAGGCAACCUGGAGAAUACUCACAAAGUAAGUGAGUAUUUGCUGACUUUUAAUGGUUGGGGUUAAAAGUCCAUUUCUAAAGUUGGCAUUUUGUUUCCUAAUUGGGGCAUUGUGUCUUGUUGAUUUACCCCACCCCAUCGUGCUGAAUUCUUAAUGUGCCAAGCCCUUGGGUUGGUAUAGGUUACCAUCUGAAAUAAAGAAAACAAAUUGAGGAAGACAGAUGGUUUGUACUUCAUGAAAUCCCAAUGAAAGUAUUAGUUUCACAUGACAUUGUUUCUAAUCUCUUCUCUCGGGGCAGAAAUGGUUUUCAUAGCUUGCUUCCAUUUCAUAUAUAAAAUUAGUCAUCCCUUGGGUUUUUGUGCCUCUUUCUUUCUGAACACUACACUGUAAUAUAAAGCAGCAAAUGGUGUACUGUCUUGUCGAUAUUUAAAAGAAUGCAAGAUAUUCUGACACUAAUAUGCUUCACAGAGAACCAACUCAUUCAUUACAAUUUCCCUUCUAGCUCUUUUAGGCUUUGUUAGAAUUGGCUUUCUCCAUGUUGGCAACCGAAUAACAUUCUGUCUUCUCUUAAUCACUCACAAAAUGUCACUUUGGCCAUUUCCCAACAGAAGUCAGAUUGUUCUUUAUGGAUUUCCUUAACAGGUUGGGGAAAAAAAUCCAUUCAUCUCCUAAUCACAAGGAAAGAAAGUGAAUUACCAAGGAUAAAAUAAACACCCAAUAGAUCUAGCUUCUUGGGAAAUAGCUAGAGAAAGAACAAUUGAUGCAGAGCUCUUUAAAAAUGAAGCCGGUAUUCACUGAUCAGAAGCCAAAUGUCUCAGGGUUUGUAACCUCAAAUGUUAGGUCUGGUGAAUGAAAAAAAGGGUGGUGGGCAGAAUAAAAACAUCAACAACAGUCAACCCACAAAUAGGAUUUGCACUGUAGAACAACAACAAAAAGAGAGAUUACUCAAUUUCUCCAGAGAGGAUAUAAUUCCAACAUGAGAAAGAACUAAGCAGCUUAGAGCCGUAGGAAAGAAAGAAACAAAACUCUCUGUAUUCCAGUGCCAGUCUGAAACAACUGGUACUGAUGCAGGAAAUGUUCAAUUAACAUGUCUUCCAACCACAGUAGAGCUGGCUUGUAUGCUUCAAACUUUGACCUAGUAUGAGGGUAACGGGUCUGUAAAAGGGGAACACACACACGGCAUAGUGGCCAAUCGACCAGGAUACAGCUGAAACUCACAGCAGAAUGAAUUGGGAAUGAGGUUGUGCAGGGGUAGCCAGUUCCCAUCAGCCCCACCCCAAUGGUCAGAGGUGAUGGGAAUUAUAGUCCAUCAGCAGCUGUAUAACACCAGAUUGGCUACCCUUGAGGAGGUAAGUCCCGAGGUAGUAUGUUAGAAUGUACCACUGUAGCAGGAUGGGUGGAUUUACUAUUUGUAAUAUUCUGCUAUAGAAAAAAAACCAUUGAAUUAGGAAGCUAGUACUGAAUAGCUGGACUAGAAGCCUGAGGGACUGAGAAUAAACCACUACAUUAAGGACUGUUCAUUGUUUGUUCCUGAGUGUCCCAGGGCUUUGAAGAUUAAGGGUGAGGGCUUCUUUCCAAGGCCCUUCAGUCUGAAGGUAAUAGUGGGGGACCCAGCCGUUCCUCUUCCCCAGAGUACAAUGGUACCUUGGGUUACAAACACCUUGGGUUACAAACACUUCGGGUUACAAACUACACUAACCAGAAGUAGUAACUUGGGUUAAGAACUUUGUCCCAGGAUGGGAACAGAAAUCAUGCGCCGGUGGCGCAGCGGCAACAGGAGGCCUCAUUAGUGAAACUGCACCUUAGGUUAAGAACGGUUUCAGGUUAAGAACGGACCUCUGGAACGAAUUAAGUUCUUAACCCGAGGUACCACUAUAAUGCCUUUUGUAGCAAGAAGAUGCUCACAAGAAGAAAUAAUACAAUGUGUAUACAUUUCUGCAGGUUAUACAUUGUAUUCAUAAAUACAAAUCUGUUUAUUGGUAAGAUUUUGUUGUUGCUAUAAGUGGUACCUCGGGUUACGAACUUAAUUUGUUCCGGAAGUCUGUUCUUAACUUGAAACAGUUUUCGUUAAUGGGGCCUCUUGCUGCCGCUGUGCCGCCAGCACACGAUUUCCGUUCUCAUCCUGGGGCAAAGUUCUCGACUCGAGGUAACUCUUUCAGGUUUGCAGAGUUUGUAACCUGAAGCGUUUGUAACCUGAGGCAUUUGUAACUUGCGGUACCACUGCACUAUUCAGAAAUGGUGUCCUGCACCAGCACCCAGAGUUGCUAAAGUCUUUCAUUUCAUGAUUCUCUCAUCUUAUUCUCCUGCAUGAGUUGAUCAGAUUUAAUUUGCAAACCAGGAAAUGUCUCUGGUUCAAAUGUUUCUUGGGUGAAUUUAAUGGCUAUUUAUACGCACCCCACAUGCAUCUAAGAUUAAGGGAAAUGACAUUUGUCUAGGUGAAGGAUUGCUGAUUACUGGUAAAAACGUUUACUGGUUGGUAGAUGGAAUGUCGGCAUAAAUAACAAUGCAGCUACCAGAAACAUUACCAUUUUCUGGAGACACACAGGAAGCUAUUUUGUGAUGAAACAGGUCCCUGGUCCCUCUAGUUCAAUAAUGCUAAUGUGCUUAUACUACCAUAAUUGUUGCCUGAUGUCCUUCAACUUGGGAUGCUAAAUGAGGUCCUCUCUUGUUUCAGUACUGCAAUGCUCUGUGUCAAUGGAUUUUUAUAAAAAACAUGCCACCAAAAAAUAGUGUCCAGUCUUAUUACUAGUGAAGACUGAAUCCAAAAGGUUCUUCAAAGUUCACAUUUGUUAAGGGAACAAAAAGACUCACAAGAACAUGGUUUUAAAUCCAGGUUCAAUGUAUGAUAGAGUUGUUUUUUUUUCCUUUUUCCUAUGUUAGAGACACACUUUCUGAUGCAAGACAGAAGUAAUGCAAGGGGCCCCAUACUGUUUCACUGUGUAAUAAAUGUAUCUGUAUCUGUUUAUUUCCCAUAUAGUAGUCUUUCCUCACCCAGACAGGGUUAAAAAUUCAUCAUUGCCAUGUUUGCUCAUUCAUGCUAAGCCAUGAAAGUUUCUGCUGUCUUGGUAAUACUGUAUAAGUUUUCUUCUAGCCUUCUUUUAUUUUAUUUCAUAUUUAAUUUAGGAAAAAAGAGAGACCAGCUUUCAUAGAUUAAUAUGAAAUGUAUAUCGAUAGAUCCACAUACAUUUAAUAUCUCCAGUUAUUAGAUUCUUUGCUUUAUGUGGUAUUGUCUCAGAAUCCAUAGUAGGGAUUUUGCAGCUUUCCUCCAUUUCCUGUCUUCCUUCUUCCUGGCUUUGGUUUCCUGUGAGUUUUCAUGCAAUAUAAAUAGCAAGAGCUGUAAAGUGCUGCUGUAAAGUACAUGAUUGAUAUUUCUCAUAUUACUUUUGCAUUUUUCACUUUUAUUUGCUGGAGCUCUUGUCAUCUCCUGCACUGCAUCAUUUCCCCUGAACAUUAAGCAAAUGCCCCUUGCCUUGAUCAAACAGUUUCCAGAGCCAGUGAAUAUGAAGGGGGAGCUUGAGGUCAACCACAAGCUACAUGCCAUUACCACCAUUUUCUUUGGGGGCUGUCAGUUAUAUGAGGGGGUGCCUACUCCUGUCCAUCAGAAUCCAUCAGUUUUCAAGGAGGCAGUUUUUAGUGACUUUCCUCUUAGAAUGCUCCCCCUAAAUCCACUCCACAAAGAUGCCCCCCAACUUCAUGACAAUGCCACACAAUGAUGUGGCAUCCCCCUAAAAAGUCUGUUGGGUAAGAUGGUGCCCAAGAGCAGCUGAGCCUCCCAGGAACAUGAUCUCUGCCAGCUGGGACCAUGAAAAAGGCAGUAGCCAUAAAAAGCAGUGACAGGCUGUGAUUUUGUGAAAUCUGGCCCCGCCAAUAUCCACCACUGAGUUUCUGAACUUUUGGCUCAGCUCUGGCUGAUGAGCCUUUUCUGAUUUGAAAUGCUGACUGCUACAAGCAAGCAUUUGCCAAAUAAUUUUAAGAAAACUAUUGCUAAUGUUGCAAGAAGUUUUGUGAGGUGAAUUAUUGGAACAAUCCAAAAAUGGAUAAAGGGGAGGAUGGUUAGUUAAGAUAAUUAAAGGCAAUAUGAAUUUAAGAAAUGCAUAAGAAGUGAUAAGAACGGUGGAUCAUCAGAGGUGCUGAUGGAAGUCCAAAAAAAGAUUGUACAAGUUGCGAAGUUUUGUGGUAUGUAUUAUAAUUUGUAUGUCAAAAUUAAUAAAAAAUAUUAUAAAAAAGGAAGGUAUGAAGCCAGUGUUGAUAGUUAUGGGUAUCAUACUUUUUUUUUCCAUUUUGGAAAUGUUUUGAUUUAUUGAAUUUGGCCACGUUUCAGUUUGCAAGCACCUUUAAAUGUACAUUCUCUCAUUUGAAUGCAGCUUCUCUCACACAGAGCUGGCAUACAGCAGAUGCCCAAAGCUAGGAAGAGCCACCCAUUCAAAGGAUUGUUGCUAGCCUGUUAAGUUACCUGAAUUAUGAAAACUUGCAACAAAUAUCAGUUCAAUUCAAUUUGGCACAACACUAAGCAUUCCUGAUGGAACAUCCGCUCCAGUUUUGAAACGAAGCUGCUCCCCCCACCCCAAAUUACAGCGAAUAUACACAAUCUAGUAUACAGUAACCACAAUAUCAUAUUGAAGCAGCACCUUCUUCGGUAGACAGAGACUGUGGUUUUUCAAAAACCAAAUGGAACUGUAUUGUAUUCAGUUGGAAAGGGCUGGUGCUCAUCUGCUCUGUAUAUAGAAGGCUCAACCUCUGGCAUCACCAGGUAGAGCUGGAAAAGUCCCCUCUCUGAAAAAUGGAGAGCUGCUGUCAGUCAGUGUAGACAAUAUUGAGCUUAAUGGACCAAUAGUCUGACUUGGGAUAAGGCUCAUAUGACCUUCUGCUAACUGAAGGCAUCCACCAGCAUGUUGGGGAGGUAGAUAAUUUUUGGGUGAAUCUUCCUCCUGCUGCAUCCCAAUCCCCAUAUGUGCUGAGGGUUUCCCAGCCAUUUGCAGCAGUUUUGGGGUAGUGACUGGGAGUGGCUGCCGAGACCACAUAACUCCGGUCCUCUUCAUUGGCUCCCAGUACAUUUCCGAGCACAAUUUAAAGUGUUGCCUAGGCCUCGGUCCAUUAUACCUGAAGGAAUAUCUCCACCCCCAUCGUUCAACCCGAAUACUGAGGUCCAGCUCUGAGGGCCUUCUGGCGGUUCCCUCACUGAGAGAUGUGAAGUUACAAGGAACCAGGCAGAGGGCCUUAUCAGUAGUGGCGCCCACCCUGUGGAAUGCCCUCCCAUCAGAUGUCAAGGAAAUAAACAACUAUCUGACUUUUAGAAGACAUCUGAAGGCAGCCCUGUUUAGGGAAGUUUUUCAUGACUGUUGUUUUAAUGUAUUUUUAAUCUUUUGUUGGAAGCUGCCCAGAGUGGCUGGGGAAACCCAGCCAGAUGGGUGGGAUAUAAAUAACAAAUUAUUAUUAUUAUUAGUAGUAGUGGUGGUGGUGGUUGCAGGUAUGAGGGAGACUCACCAAAAAUUAACCUCCUCUUCAUUCUAUGGACACAUGUCUUCUGCCACUGGAGGAACACUAAUUAGAUAUCACUUAUCAUUAUGAUAGCAAAAGAUAAAUAAAUCACUGGUGCAAAAAUGAAAGGCAACAUUUGUCUGGAGAGAGAGAGAGAAAAAAAAAGGUAUAUUUGUGCUAGUAUGUCAUUUUUGUCCUUUCUUGUCUUCAAGAGCAGUCCACGAAGUGCAGUUUCUCAUCAUAGAGUUGCUCUUGUUAUGCAUGCACCAAAAAGUACCAGUCCUGUGACAUCUUAGAGACUAACAAACUGAUCGUCGCAUGAAUGUUCAUAAACAAGAGACUACUUCAUCCUAAGAAGCAAGAGCUGCCUUCAUCAGAUAUGAGGAGGAAGGAGCCUACUCCAUGAGGUGUUUUGUAUGCAGUGCAGUCACAGUCGAGCUGAAAUAAAUUAACAUUAUGAUACAGAGUAUUGUUGUUUCCUCUGGAGAUAGACAAAGAUAAAGAAUCUGUAGGAUUAUGCCAGAUGCAGAUCAUAUUGUACUUGAUCAACAUCACAGAGUUCUGC